RNAcentral lists this ribosomal RNA (1321 nucleotides) under Microbacterium sp. I33. Its description in RNAcentral is "bacterial SSU rRNA". It matches the Rfam family "Bacterial small subunit ribosomal RNA", at positions 96 to 1428 of the family's 1533-position model. The record is from RNAcentral. Lineage: Bacteria; Bacillati; Actinomycetota; Actinomycetes; Micrococcales; Microbacteriaceae.
UGGCGAACGGGUGAGUAACACGUGAGCAACCUGCCCCUGACUCUGGGAUAAGCGCUGGAAACGGCGUCUAAUACUGGAUAUGUGACGUGACCGCAUGGUCUGCGUUUGGAAAGAUUUUUCGGUUGGGGAUGGGCUCGCGGCCUAUCAGCUUGUUGGUGAGGUAAUGGCUCACCAAGGCGUCGACGGGUAGCCGGCCUGAGAGGGUGACCGGCCACACUGGGACUGAGACACGGCCCAGACUCCUACGGGAGGCAGCAGUGGGGAAUAUUGCACAAUGGGCGAAAGCCUGAUGCAGCAACGCCGCGUGAGGGAUGACGGCCUUCGGGUUGUAAACCUCUUUUAGCAGGGAAGAAGCGAAAGUGACGGUACCUGCAGAAAAAGCGCCGGCUAACUACGUGCCAGCAGCCGCGGUAAUACGUAGGGCGCAAGCGUUAUCCGGAAUUAUUGGGCGUAAAGAGCUCGUAGGCGGUUUGUCGCGUCUGCUGUGAAAUCCCGAGGCUCAACCUCGGGCCUGCAGUGGGUACGGGCAGACUAGAGUGCGGUAGGGGAGAUUGGAAUUCCUGGUGUAGCGGUGGAAUGCGCAGAUAUCAGGAGGAACACCGAUGGCGAAGGCAGAUCUCUGGGCCGUAACUGACGCUGAGGAGCGAAAGGGUGGGGAGCAAACAGGCUUAGAUACCCUGGUAGUCCACCCCGUAAACGUUGGGAACUAGUUGUGGGGUCCAUUCCACGGAUUCCGUGACGCAGCUAACGCAUUAAGUUCCCCGCCUGGGGAGUACGGCCGCAAGGCUAAAACUCAAAGGAAUUGACGGGGACCCGCACAAGCGGCGGAGCAUGCGGAUUAAUUCGAUGCAACGCGAAGAACCUUACCAAGGCUUGACAUAUACGAGAACGGGCCAGAAAUGGUCAACUCUUUGGACACUCGUAAACAGGUGGUGCAUGGUUGUCGUCAGCUCGUGUCGUGAGAUGUUGGGUUAAGUCCCGCAACGAGCGCAACCCUCGUUCUAUGUUGCCAGCACGUAAUGGUGGGAACUCAUGGGAUACUGCCGGGGUCAACUCGGAGGAAGGUGGGGAUGACGUCAAAUCAUCAUGCCCCUUAUGUCUUGGGCUUCACGCAUGCUACAAUGGCCGGUACAAAGGGCUGCAAUACCGUGAGGUGGAGCGAAUCCCAAAAAGCCGGUCCCAGUUCGGAUUGAGGUCUGCAACUCGACCUCAUGAAGUCGGAGUCGCUAGUAAUCGCAGAUCAGCAACGCUGCGGUGAAUACGUUCCCGGGUCUUGUACACACCGCCCGUCAAGUCAUGAAAGUCGGUAACACCUGAAGCC